RNAcentral lists this ribosomal RNA (253 nucleotides) under uncultured bacterium. RNAcentral describes it as "partial 16S ribosomal RNA". It matches the Rfam family "Bacterial small subunit ribosomal RNA", at positions 524 to 776 of the family's 1533-position model. The record is from RNAcentral.
UACGUAGGGUGCAAGCGUUAAUCGGAAUUACUGGGCGUAAAGCGUGCGCAGGCGGUUCUAUAAGACAGAUGUGAAAUCCCCGGGCUCAACCUGGGAACUGCAUUUGUGACUGUAGAGCUGGAGUACGGCAGAGGGGGAUGGAAUUCCGCGUGUAGCAGUGAAAUGCGUAGAUAUGCGGAGGAACACCGAUGGCGAAGGCAAUCCCCUGGGCCUGUACUGACGCUCAUGCACGAAAGCUAGGGGAGCAAACAGG